CAGUCGCCGCGGGAAUACGUAGGUGGCAAGCGUUGUCCGGAAUUAUUGGGCGUAAAGCGCGCGCAGGCGGCCUAUCCAGUCUGUCUUAAAAGUUCGGGGCUCAACCCCGUGAUGGGAUGGAAACUAGUAGGCUAGAGUAUCGGAGAGGAAAGCGGAAUUCCUAGUGUAGCGGUGAAAUGCGUAGAUAUUAGGAAGAACACCAGUGGCGAAGGCGGCUUUCUGGACGAAAACUGACGCUGAGGCGCGAAAGCCAGGGGAGCGAACGGGAUUAGAUACCCCUGUAGUCCCUGUCUCUUAUACA
This 301-nucleotide ribosomal RNA is filed under the name uncultured bacterium. RNAcentral's name for it is "partial 16S ribosomal RNA". It matches the Rfam family "Bacterial small subunit ribosomal RNA", at positions 509 to 809 of the family's 1533-position model. The record is from RNAcentral.